UUAGUCUUUGGACCCCCUCCAGUGUGAGCAUUACUUGGGCAAUUACUUUCCCCGUAAUGUAGCAGAUGCAAGUUAACAGAUACUGAAACUACACAAGACCUUAGACAGAUAAACAUGUACCAGCGUGACUUUGAGCAGUCAGGACAAUAGAGAGGACUUUUAAUGCACAAAAGCAGAACAAAGGAUCAAAUCACACUAAUAAAUCAAAUCAGAACAAAAACGAAAGCCUCGAGUGUGUGUUCGAGGAAGCCCAGACGCAGAAGGAAUCCAGAGGAGUGAUGCGCUGAGCGGGGUCCCGGGCUUCCAUCUGUCAGAAUCACUCAUUCCAGAGCAGCAGAAAUCUACCAGCGGAGUUUCCUGUGACUUCCGGCCUCGGCGAGGCAGGUUCAGGCAGCCUCAGGCUCAGCCCAUGGGAGAGGCCUCCUCCCAAUCACAGACCCUUCCUGGUGCCAGAGCUUGGAAGAACUGCCGCAGGGUAGAAAAGGACCUCAGGGCAGCGCGGCUCGCAGAGCAGCCGGCCCGGUGCCAGGAGGAGGAGACGGCGCUACCAGGAAAAAUCCAAGAACCCUGGGAAAACCUGUAUCUCCUGACUAAAUCUGAGAGAGACUUCUGUGUGGAUGCCCAGUUUCCUUGUGCAGUCAGAAAAGCAAAAGGAAUUUUAAGGAAAGGGGUCAUGUUCUUUCUUAAUAAUCAGUCUCUUAGCCUAGAAGAGAAAAAGUUCCCCGAUGGCUUGUCAGAAACCGUUUGGUCCUGCCAACUCAUAAUGGGAUUUGUGAGGCAGUGAGUGUACUCACGUUUCUUCUCUGCAAACAGUUCUGCU
RNAcentral lists this long non-coding RNA (820 nucleotides) under Equus caballus (horse). RNAcentral describes it as "lncRNA (ENSECAG00000050079.1)". Lineage: Eukaryota; Metazoa; Chordata; Mammalia; Perissodactyla; Equidae. The record is from RNAcentral.